ACGGACGCGUUCUAAAGAGGACGUCCGCACUUUCGUUAAAGUGCGGAUGGCGCUGCUGCAGCUCGGUUCGGGGUGCGACGGAGCAGCGGAGCUUGCCGGACGGACGCCACGGGUCAGACGGAUGGGUCUGCAGUCGGUGGAGUCGCCGGCGACGUGGUUGCAGCCUUGCCCAUAAACCUGCAGUUGCAGGUGAGCUCGCUGCCCAGAAACCUGCAACUCCGACCUCCUCCGACCUCGAACGCUGCCCAGAACCGUCCGCCAAGCCCCGAGCCGCCGUCGCAGCCUGGAACGCCGCCGCUGCGUCGCCGUCCGCACUUUAGCCAAGUGCGGACGUCCGC
Molecule: long non-coding RNA, 338 nt
Filed under: Rosa chinensis
Lineage: Eukaryota; Viridiplantae; Streptophyta; Magnoliopsida; Rosales; Rosaceae
Description: sRNA RchiOBHm_Chr5g0071841
Source: RNAcentral